Molecule: ribosomal RNA, 424 nt
Filed under: uncultured bacterium
Lineage: Bacteria
Description: partial 16S ribosomal RNA
Rfam family: Bacterial small subunit ribosomal RNA
Source: RNAcentral
UGGGAAUUUUGGACAAUGGGCGCAAGCCUGAUCCAGCCAUGCCGCGUGCGGGAAGAAGGCCUUCGGGUUGUAAACCGCUUUUGUCAGGGAAGAAAUCUUCUGAGUUAAUACCUCGGGAGGAUGACGGUACCUGAAGAAUAAGCACCGGCUAACUACGUGCCAGCAGCCGCGGUAAUACGUAGGGUGCAAGCGUUAAUCGGAACUACUGGGCGUAAAGCGUGCGCAGGCGGUUUUGUAAGACAGAGGUGAAAUCCCCGGGCUCAACCUGGGAACUGCCUUUGUGACUGCAAGGCUUGAGGUGCGGCAGAGGGGGAUGGAAUUCCGCGUGUAGCAGUGAAAUGCGUAGAUAUGCGGAGGAAACACCGAUGGCGAAGGCCAAUCCCCUGGGCCUGCACUGACGCUCAUGCACGAAAGCGUGGGGAGC